GGGCGGCUCCAUCGCUCUCGGUUGCCUCCCAAACCAGGGGAACUAUUUUCCGGCGGAGGGAUUCUCUGUGACGAGUCACUCCCCCUCACAGGAGAUAAAGUGGCUGUAGUGCCGGCGGGUGAAGCGCGCGGUUUGGUUGGGCGAUGGCGGCGGCUGAGGUGCUGUGCCGGGCGGCUCUGGAGCUCUACGGGCGGCUCCGCCGAAUAUAUGAGGAAAGGGGAAAUGUCCCUGAGGAGCCGUACCUGUUUGAGACUGAUGUGGAGAUUUGUUUGAUUGAUGACAGCUGCAAAAGUCCCAUUGAAAGCUUUUGGAAUGGAAGCAAUACGAUGUAUGUUUUGCAGAAAGCACAACACCAUGAAGAAAGCGACCCAGUGGAAGAAUCAAACCCAGGUGAUGCUCUUGAGGCAUCUAAGCUUGUACCAAAGGAGGGUUCUGGUCCAGUGGCUCUUCCCAUCACAAGAGCAAGGCGGUUGAAUUCCUUAUAUGCAAUGGUGCAAAAUCCAAACAUGACCCACUUGAAGAUAAGACAACUGGUUGUGCUUCCUCCCCUCUGGAUAAGGUGUGACAGUUCCGAUCCCCAACACACUUACUGGCUUGGAGCUGAGCCUCUCAAAGCUGGACACAAAAUCACAGGGAUCAACUUGUAUACAGUCACAUGUAAUGGUCCUACAGCUGAUAAAACCUGCUUUCCAAACCUGGAGGAGCUCAAAACACAACAUAAAAUGAGACAUCAUUCAUCUACUGUAAUGACGAAAGGAUUUGCUCGGUAUGAGCUUUUUAGAGCUCCUUCAGUAGAGGACACAAUUGGAGACUCUGGAAGCUGUGUAUUUGUUGAUAUGACAUGGAAAACUGUAGAUAAGAUUCUGGAGAUGCCCCCUCUAACUUCAGCUGCCAUGCUAAAUAUUAUGCUGGAGUCUGGAGACCCUGGAAGUUCUGUCUAUCGGGUGUACAGAGAACUGCAGUUGCUCCUUACUUUAGCUGAAGGUUUGAAGACGGGUGUGACGGAGUGGCCUGAGCGUUUGGAAUCUGAAUCGGCUGUUAAACUGGUCCAGGAAUUUCUAACUGAUUUAAAGAGGAAGAUGUUUGGAUCUUGUACAUCUGGAAACGGGAAUGAAACAGAGGAAGUCAAAUCUGACAGUACUGCAGCAGAGAGUGCGAUAAAAUCAAUUUUCAGUGAGCGAGGAGACUUGGAUUUUGCUGAACAAGUGUGGUGCAAAAUGAGAAGUGUCGGUUCCUAUCAGGAGGUGGUAGAGUGUUUGUCACAGAUCAUAAAAUCCUUGGCAUGUGGUGAUAUACAACCGUGGAUUCAUCAAGGCAGUAACAGUUUGCUGAGUAAACUGGUUCAACAGUCUUAUCAUGGAAAGAUGGAGACCAUUUCCCUCAGUGGCAUCACUCCAAUUCAAAUGCUUUUGGAGGUUGGUUUGGAUAAGAUGAAGAAGGAUUAUGUCAGUUUUUUCACAGGCCGUGAUCUUGCAGCAUUAACCGACAUGGAGUACUUCAUUUCCACAUCAGUUGAUCUGCAAGAACAAGUUCAUCGCGUUCAAAAGCUUCACCAUAUGCUGGAAAUAAUGGUCAGCUCUACAGUCUUUCUGUCUCUUAAACAUGAGAACCUCUACCUUUUGACAAAAAUUUGCAUGAAGUAUUAUAAGGAAAACCCUCUAAAUGAGAAGCAUGUGUUUCAGCUGCCCAUCAGACCAGCACUUGUUAAGAAUUUCUAUCAAAAUGAUCACCCAGAAAUAUGGAAGGUGGACAUAAUUAGUGGGCAUGGACCGAAGGAGGUUAAAACAACAUGGCGUGUUAGUACUAAUCCUCCAUUUGAUCAUAUGACAAAUGAUACAGGUCUCUUUUUGAAUUCCACAGUUAAGGGAAGCCAUGAAGAAAGAAUGUAUUUUAUUACACUAGCCCAGUGCAGUCAGGUGCAUUUUGUGUAGCUGUCUGUUACUCUCCAGGCAGGCACUGGAUGGAUACAGUAAAGGGGAAAGAUUAGUUUUAUCUGUGUCCCAACAGUACAUCUAGAAAACCUCUGUGGUUUGAAGGAACAGCACAUCUUAGAAGGCGAAGAAAAACCUUUUGGCAGCUUUCUUGAGCAAACACACGAGUAGAUCCAGAGCGUUAAACCCCGCAAUCAACUGCAGUUCAAAAGUACCAGUUGGAAAAGUGCCGUAAUAGAAGGAGCCUGGAUUGUUCUUUGUCCACUGGAAAUCCUCAGCUGCGUUCAGCUGUAUUAUCGGCACAAGCACACACCAUAUUCUCAAAACAGGGAUUCUUUCUGGUGAUGUCUUUGUGGAAAAAACCAGCUCUCCCAGUCCUGGAGGUCAGCUGUUCAACUUGAGCUGCUCCUUCUUCUAGUUCUGUGAGUUAUCGUUCAGUCCUCCCUCAUAGAUUAUAUACAUUGAGAAGAGCAAACCCAUUGCUAGGGCUUGGAACCUGCUAUUCUGUUCCUCUGAAGCUAUACAGUGUGUAAGCAAAUUUCAAUUUAUUUAUUUAUUUAGCGUCUUGGUUUUGGUUUUUUAGAGCAGUACUGGUGCCCUCUCGUGGUCAAUGUCACGAAAGAGCAUUAACAUCAAAAAUGCUGCCAGGUAGCAUGAAGUCAGUAACCACACUGGAGUUCAUGUGCUGCCUCUGAUCUCAGAAGUCAAAAAGUGUCUUGCAGCUCCAGAGGGAACACCGUCAGGAGCUCCCUGUUCAUCCUUGCGGGUCUCCCAGUGCUCUUGCUUGACUCAUCAGGAUGGACUGUUUGCAAGCACAGAGGAGGAGAUCCUUGAAAAUCACCCAGCUCAUGCUCUUUGUGAUUUAUGGUGCACAUAAAGGGCGGUGUUGUAAACGUAGGUCAGGUGCUGCAGAUGAGUUCAGUGCUUAAGGCACAUUUUUAAGUACCUGCUGUACAUUUGGCAUGCUUUUCUCCAGCAGCAUACAAGGAUCACUGCGGUGCUGCGUGAUGCUAUGGUUGUUGUGAUGAUUAAAGGUGUGCGUUAAUCAUUCCUUGUUAAAUGGCAAUUGCACCUAAAACCACAGGCUUUGACAUGCCAGGAGAGAAACUGUGACUCCCUCUUUGCAGAUGAGAAGCUGAGGCCCAGGGAGGUUGGACAGAAAUGGGGCAGGGGGUUUGUAUCCAGCUGGGAACCCCACUCAGAUCUCUGGCUCUCUGCCCAGUGCCCUGUGUACCAACCAGUCUGCUGCUUUAGGGACUGGCUUGUGUGUCACUAAAGCCACUUGGUGAAUUGUCACCCACUUCGGUGGUGAGGAGUAAGCCCUUGGCGUGCACAAAAACUGCAUUUAACAUGGGCUGCUAGAAACAUGAUGCGGUUCCACUCUAAGUUGUGCUUACAUGGGUUUUCUUCUCUUAACACAAUCUUUUCCUGUGAUGUUGUUUCCCUGUUUCCUGCAUAAAAGCUCAACUCUAUAAAAAAAAUUAAAAGAAAAAAUCGUGAGAUAUCUACAUUGCUACAGCUUGGUCAUUUUUUCCUCUUGUUUCAUCUUGGAAAAGUUUUAUAAGUGGCAGUUUCUAAAAUGCACCAGAAACACAUCAAGGCUAGAAAAUAUUUUAUUUUGUUUUAUUGGUAAAAAAAAGAAUGUUAAAAGAUGUACUCAGUGGAGCCCAUCCAAAAUUGCCCAAUGACUCCAGUAAAAUAACCUGGAAAGUAGGUUAUGUGACUGGCCCAGUGCGGUGGGCAGGUCGGGGGAAAGUCGCAAUUGACUCUCCGCUUACGGCUUAUCCACUGUUUGCUUCUCUGCAGCCUGGAGUGGAUCUUUAUCCAUAAAUGACGUAGGUAUUUCGGUGUUGUCUUGCUGCAGAACUGCUCUGUGACCACGUCACUGAGACUCUGGUACAAACCCCCUGUCUUAAAGGAAUUGAUACUUAUCCUCCCACUUGAUUUUCUAUCUAGGGUAUGCUUCAUGUGGCAAAACCUCUUAUCUCCAGAUAGACAAUCAAAAAUAGAGUCAUCCCUAACAGCAGAUACUGCCAAACUGGUAUUUAUUUGAUUUUUGCUUUUAACCCUUAUGUUUUGUCUAGGCUGAUGAAAAAGUAGAAGCUUCCUAAUUCCCUGGCAGCUGUGCAAAUGAGACCAAAUCAUCCUCACUCAAUUCUAACUUAUCUCUGCAGCUUCCUGAUUCUUCAUUCUUCCGAGCUGCCCUCCCGUUCCAACUCCAAAUAGGCCUUUUCUGUCUCAGAAAGAAAAAUCUUAUUAUACAGUGACCAGAAAACCACGUAAUUUUUCCAGUGUGUGGUCUACUGCAACUACCCUGAGAUACUGGAGAUUUUUCAAAAUCAAAACAAAACCCACUUACAAUUGUUCUUGGAACAUGAACACUUGUAUAACUGUACUCAUAUUUUUCUGUGUUACAAAAUGACUUUCAUUGCAUUAUGUUAGCUGUUUUUGGAAACUUUGUCUAAUGCUCAACUGUACUGAUGGCCUGGCCUCGCUUUUCAGAGAAAAACAGAAAAUUGGAAGUAAUUGAAAUGAGGAUGCCUUGCUGUACAAUCAGUCAGGCUGCUUUGACUUGAAGCAGUUAGGGGAAUGUAGUUGUUAAUGGAGAAGAUGUUCGGAAGUGUUUCUUAUGACUAAGUGAAUUCUGAAGGCAGAAAGGAGUGUUUGGAAAAGCAGGAGAUGCAUUUUAUUGCCUAUGAAAAGAGAGCAAUGACACUGAAGACACUGCUCUAACAAGCCUGGUUUUGAACUUGCAUACAUACACCGAGGUGGCCUGGUAACUUCAGAACAGAGAUUGCCAACUUUUCCAUGCUUAGAGCCAUUUUUAUUUCUUACAUAAAUGCCUUUAGCCAGACUGAUGCGAUCAUAUUUGCACAGCUCUGCCCUGGACCCAAUAAACUCUGCUGGACCUGGCCUUGUGAUUUUCCUCUUCUGCAGCUCUUUACGGCACCACUGACCUGCUCUGCUGGUAAACCUGUUGUCGCUUGGGCUACCAGGAGGCUCCUGGUAUCCUGGAAGAUCUGUGGGCAGCUUCUGAGGAUGGUCUCCGUCUGAAGAAAACCUCCAGAUGUUUGGAAGAUCUUGUGUUUGAAGUGGGAUCCCUGAGAUGAGAUUAAAACGGAUAAAUCUGAAACUUACACCAUAUUUAUUUAGCAGUGCCUACACUAUUAUGAAAGCUACUGCUAUCAUAUUUUACGGCCAUUGGGCACACAGAAUAGCUGUUAUCACUAACUGCUGGUUUUUCUGGGGUAAUUUUGGGAAAAAUUAUGAUAUUUGAGAAUCCACCAUUGCUGUUUUGCAAAGAUUGGUGAGGAUAGGGUAAAUCUGCAGAAUCUAUUCUAGCUGUACUAAAAGCUCAAAUAUUAAAUGUCUCAUUUUUAAGUAAGCUCCCAAAUUGUAUAGUCUUAAAAAUGCUUCUUGGUGCAUGUAGAGAGGUGCAGAAACUUCCCCCUUUUGUGGAAUGCUGUUCUCCUAAAUGGUCAAAACUCAUGAGACUUUGCACUGAUUCAGUCAAAGGUGUAUAUUAGAUUUUUGAACGCACAAGCUCAGUGGAUGGUUGAAAAUCCAAACCAUGACAUAUAUUAAAUGACACAUAUUUUAGAUACUCUUGGGUGCAAUGAAAAAGGUCACAGAAGUUUGGUUCUCCAAAUCAAUUUUAAUUUAUCUUUUCCUGCUGACAGCUUCAUGCUAAGAGUUGGCCUCCAUGUGAUGUGAACGCUGAGAUGCUGCUGCAGGCUACCGCUGAUUGGAAUUUACUUGUGUUCGUCCAAUUGCAUGCUCUGCCAUCAUCUGUUUGCAAUCACAAAGAGGAAACUUCUGAAGCUUGGGAAUGAGAGAAAAUGAAGUGUCUUGACAACUACAAAACACCGAGAAAGCUUCUGGAGGUUUUCCCAUCACUGUUUGUGAAGAGGUUCAGGCUUGUGAGCAAUUGAACCCCUGAAGAGCCCUGAGCAGCAGCAUCACCCAGCGCUGGAGGAGCUUGGGGACAACCAGGGGAGUUCCAGGCUGACUCCAGGCUUGUGUCCUCACCCCCCUCACCUGUGACAUGGUUGCAAUGCCGGUCACCACCUGCUCUGCUGACCACUGUGAAAAUGCCAGUGAAAAAUGCUGUACAGUUAACUGGAAAUCUGUUAUUUAUGGCUGAACUACUAUUAGUAGUUCAGCCAUAGGGACCUGUUUCUUUCCAUCUGGCCAGUACAAGUGGAGAAGAGCAGCAAAGGGAUAUAAAAGCUGUCAGAUUCUCUCCUCUGAAGAAAGUAUCGUUGAGGGACAGUUUGAGAUCAGCAAUAUGGAACAGAAGAAUAUAAAGGGAUCCUGAUGGCUGCCAGAACAAGGGCUGGCACUUUGGAUUGCAACAUUGCUGAAAUGAAAAGCGUGAACACUACAGGAAUUUCUGCUCUAUGGAAAAAUGUUAUUUUUGGAUUCUUCAGGAAGGCGUGCACAUAAAACCGCUGGUUCCCUGAGCUUAUGUUCUACAGAAUGUGAUGGGGCCAAGAGAGAAAACCUUGAUACUGAAUGACUGUCUCAACCUCCUGCCAGGAUUCCUGACUUCCAGCUCUGUGCCCCGCCCACAGGGCCACCCCUUGUCCCCUUCGACCAUUUAUUUGUAGACCAAAAGGAAGCUGAUGAAAGCCACUGAACAGCAUCCAACUUAGAGAAAGCAUCUGCUGCACAUACAGACCUCUAUUCAACCAAGCAUCAGGACAGGCAGACUGGCCCGUUGUGUUGAACAGCCCCCCUGUGCCACCACAGGGAUGGUGGUAUUUCAGCGGUGGAUAAUCACUGCAUGUGCUUUGCAAAGGUCUGAGGAUGAAAAAUCUCUCUGCAAUUGUAGAUUUUUUUUCCCUCUCUAAGGCCAACAUUUGGCUUGGACUAUCCAAAGCAGUUAAGUUUAUUAAUAGUCUGUUUCUGGAGCCGAAGUGACUCCGUAGAGGGGAGUUAUUCUGUGCAAAACAAAACAGGAAAAGAAAACAAUGUCCAACUCCUCCGUUCUGGAGGGUCGCUCAGAAAGCAGCAUUGUUCCACCUUCUCCCACGGAGCAGAGGAGACUGGAGACAGCGCAGCCGUUGCGGGAGGAGGGUGAUGUGGUCCAGCACGGAGACGCUCUGCGGCGUGAGGGACAUAGGGAGGGCAUUCAGGGAUGAAAUGUGGCUGCCACUUUUGAAAAUGAGUCUGUUCUUGGCCAAGUCACUGGCUUAAACAUUCAGCAAGAGAAUCAAAGGAGGAAAAUUCACAGGCAGCAGCACAGGCUGUUAUUUGAUGGGAUCCAAGCGCUCAGACCCUUGGAAGGCAGCGGGAUGCGCCUCACAGCAUUGCUAGUGAGGUAUGUGCUGGACAGUGAGACUUGUUCCAUCUACAAAAGUCCAGUGCAGCUUCUAAGUGUCUCUCAAACCUAAGGGUUUGCAUGGCUUCUCUAUUUGGGAACCAGUUGACUCUUUUUUCAGCCCUCUGCCAUUGGUUUCCAUUUUUAAUCAGCACCGCUGGUUUCUCACCCUCCACACAGCCACCGGCCAGGUGUUCAAGACACAGGGACAAAGUGGGGCAGGACAUCUGAGGAGAUGCAGAAGACCCAGGUGAAGCCAACCAUGGAGAAACAGGUGGACAGACAGCUGUUCUUCCAGAGACAGAGAAUUAAAGAGAGCCUCUCAGCUCAGGAGAGCUGGGGAAGACGAGGUCGUUUCUUUUUGCGACUGAUGUUGUGUUUGUUUUUUUUUUAUUAUGACUUCCAUGUCUUCCCCUCCUGGCUAAUAAAGCUAAUUAGGCUGAAAAGGACAUGGGGAGAGAAAAUAGGUUUGCUCCAGCUCUCCAUAGUGAGCAACCUGGUGUUGUGAAACACUGGAGACAGUCGUUCGCUAAGAAAAUAAAUCGUAAAACUUUUCCCAUGGCAGGGAGUUCUCCCUAGAAAUGUUCUUCAUCACAAAAACCCCAACAUCAUCCGGCUCUUGCCUUUCCCCUCCUCUGACUAAAUAUAAAAUAGUCUUCACAUGUCUCGUUCCACUGGGAUUCUGCAGCGGUUUGAGCAUUACUGGCUUUUUUCACUGCCAUAUUUCAACAUAUGCCCCUCAUGACAGACAGCAAUGUGCCUUUCCUCAGUUUUAGCUCUUGGGUUAAUUUUGCCUAUAGAGGAAGAAUAAGCUGUAAACAUCCCCUGGACAGGGGCACUGAAGCUUGAGAUGAGUUUGGGGAAUUAUAGAAUUACAAAAUGGCAUAGAUUUUAGUGACAGUGCAAGGUAUCCACUUAAUGGCAACUUCAAGUUCCAGCAGUUCCAGUAAGGAAGUUUUAUAACAACAUUAAAUCUGGGAUAAAAAUGGAUUAUUGGCAGUUGCAGGAUUUUGGGGAAAAGGUUUGCUCUAGUUCUGAAUAAAACAAAUGGUUUGCAACUUUUCUGGGAAAUGAGGAUUUGAACAAAAAUGUUGGUUUGGUUCAAUGCAUGGUUGGAUUCGCUCUCAAAACUUGGUAGCAUUUUAAAAAUAGAAAGAAAUGUCAUUUGGAAGUGGAGAUGAUUUCAACUCGACGUGUCAAAAUGCUUCAUUCUGAGAUGCUUUGAAUUCCCUUUUAAUGGAAAUUCAGCAUCUAUAUCAUAAGGAAGUGACCAACCUCGGGCUGGCGCACGUCCGAGACAGCUAAUUUUGAAUCUUUAACUUAAAAUCACUCAUCUGGGUGGAGAAGCGCAUGACCCAUCACCGGCGAUGUCUGAGGGAGGGCGAGCUGGGCACCAGGUAGGCUGCAAGGCAAAUUAACUCGUUAGACCACAGGCUCGUCAGCUUAUUUUGCUCCCUUUGAACACCACAAAAUUCCUACUUGUUAGUCACUAUUUAUACAGUUGCACUUAGAUUCUUUCUUAAGCAUUCACAUAUUCACAAAAUACUUUUAAGAGGCAAAAACCCUGAUGUUUUAAAUGAGUUUAACAAUAAACAGGCAGAGACUAAAGCGUGCGUAGUCCUCAGGUCAAACCCGCACCAAAUUUCCACUGGCCUCAGCACAGAGCAGCUUCAAGCCUGAACUUUCACUUCCAAGUCAUGCUGGGCUGGUGAAAACAGAGUUUUGACUGAUGCUUCACACAUAAAUGAAGAAUUUUGGAGUACGGGGGUCACUAGGAGCUUGCUAACAGCUAAGCGGCGUGUGCUGGGCCCUGCUGUGGUUUAUUUUCUGCAGAGGAACUCUUUUGUUUGAUGUGUCCUCCUGGAGUCAAGCACAGCGCAGUGCAGAACUGACAGCAGAAAACUUUCCUCACAUCCCUUUACAUUUAACUAAAGCAGCUUAAUUGUUACUCAAUGGCAGCAAAUCUGCAGCAGAAGCAUCGCAGCCACUCCAAGGAGAGGAGCUCAGAUUAAAGAGCUGGCAGGGAAAGACCCUUCUGCAAGGGCAGAAAGAUCAUUCAGAAAUAUUCAUAAAACACAAGCCGAAUCUUUAAAUAUUUAUUAAAAACAGAGUUUGAAUGUUAAUUCCCCCUCACACAUCACCCCUGAAUGAGAUUCUAGAGAUGAGGAAAUGAAACCACAAAGCCAGUAAGUGAUUUGCCCGAGGCCUCGGCCAUAAAUCAGGCUCUGAACUUGAGCUCAGCUCUUCCCGCUCCCUCCGUCACCUCUCCUGACUCCGUGACGAGGUGACAGGCCGAGCUGGCGUCCAUGUUCCCCCAAGUGCCACCCAAGAGUGAUGCUCAUCGGGGUUUCAGACCUAGGUUCUGCAGCAAGGAAUGGACUCUGCAGCUACUGUGAUCCCCUCAUGUCUCCCAAAUGUUAUCACCCUCUUUAUAACAACUUGUCCCCCCAGGCUUGGGAGUUUUUUCAUGGUCUUAUCAAUGAAAACACACCUGAAUUUAGUUUGGUAGGGUAUUCUGUGUAAUUAGUAGGAAAAAAGAUCGGUGUCGGCAGUUUUGUGCUGCAAAAGAGUAUUUAAGUCUCUUUUUAGAGUCGUUCUGCUUUUGCCCAACUUCUUGGUGAUUUCUGACUUGUGGACCAUACGUCCUACAUGUGCAACCAUGAGGCCACCGACAGACCGGGAGCUUUGGUCUUCCUCCCAGGGACAACCCCAACUACCUCGAUUCCCUUUUGCAAGUUAGUGGAGCCUUAGCCCGGAGCACCCAUGAGCAGCCGGUCUCCCCAAAAGCACCGGGGCUGUGUUACCAUCCCCAGAAGCACCGUGGCUGGGUCACCGUCCCAUGCUGUGCACAGCGCAGAUGUUCCUGCGGAGCCUUGCACCAGAUGCGCUUCCUCCCAUUGGUCUCUCCAGAUAAGUCGCUUGUGUCUUAUAAGUUGUUUACUCCAUUUCUUAAAGCAGGAUGCUUUCCUUAUCUGCAAGCAGAGUAAAUUCCCCGCAGUGCCUCAUUCCUGGCCCUCUCCUGACUCCGGAGCUCGCUCAGCGCUGGUGGUGGCUCUGCCUUAUCUCCCGUCUGCAGCGCAGACAGACCCAGCCUGGAGCAGCCUCGGGGCUCUGCAAUACCAACACCAAUGUCUUCAAAGACUGAAAAUUACUCUGUAAUUUGAAUCUUUAACAACACAUGGAAAAAUCUACAGGAACUGGCCUGUAUCAUGUCUCCGAAUGGCUUCAUAAAUAUAACACUGAAGAAUUUGGACACUCUUGUGUGUGUCCAUGAUGGAUGUUUGUAUUCUAAGAAAUGCACUUUCUGCCUUUCCCUGUCUCUCUGAAGCAGCUCAAAUCCACUGUGCAGCAUUUUUUCCUGUCCCUUCCUUACCUUCAACCCUUGUCCCAUGUCACUGGCGAUUGCACCACAGCCGAGGACAGAGUUUAGCCUGUGUCAUUGAUUCCCGAGCCAGCGGGCUCCAGUGGCUCCUCCUGGGCCACCACUAUUGUUGUCAAUCCCCAUUCCCAUCUGCCUGAGAUGCAGAAGCCACAUGUAGAAAGUUCAAAUACAAAAAAGCUCGAUGGAACAUAUUUAUCUGAAAACAAUAGUGUGUCUGGAUGGAAAAAUCAGUGUUUUACACCAAUCAUGUGGUUGUUAUUAAUGCUUUCCAAAACACCCAGAGGUACCUUGAGUGUUAACUAAGAGCAGCCUGUACUAUUUUGCUUAAAAAUCAAAAUGUGCAUCUCUGCACCUAAAACUGCUCUUGUAUUUCAGCCCUGUAUCGAUGCCCAGAUGGCUGCCAGAGGAAUUUCCCCCAAAUCUGCAGUCACGGGGCUUGAUUUCAGCCCAAGAUGCUGCAGCAAAUAUUUAUGGUUGUGUUUCAGUGCUUCUUUUCCAUUCUGUUCCUCAAAGCAGGAUGGUGUCCUGUGAGCAUGGAUUGAGCCUGACCUGUAUCCCCUGCAUAGAAUCAGAGGGUGGUUUGGGUUGAAGGGAGCUUCCCAGCUCCCCCAGUGCCACCCCUGCCAUGAGCAGGGACAUCUUCACCAGCUCAGGUUGCUCAGAGCCUCGUCCAGCCUGGCCUGGGAUGUCUCCUGCCCUGCUCUGCUUUCUGCUGCCCUGCGUGGGCUGAGAUUCUGUCCCUGGUGCCAGUGAGUGCCAUGGCCAGGCUGGGGGUACACAGGGGAUACACCAGGGGUACAGCGGGUGUACCCCAGCAGGGAUGAUGCUCGCAGGCAGCACAUUCUGGUACCAUGGGCUCCUGCCAGGUUUUCCACCCCGUGCUUUAACCACACAAAGAAGCAAACCCAGCACAGAGCUGCGAGCAGGAAUUGUUUAAAGCAUCUCCGGCAGCAAAGGCUGAGCUGGAGGGUUCAUUUCCUCGGCUGCUGCAGCCCCAGAAACCCAAGAUCCACUGAUAGCCAUUGAGCAAGGAUUUCCAUUUUUGGUGCGAGUUCAGACUUAAAAUAGACAAGUCUUGAGCGAGGAAGAAACUCUUGUUGACAGAACAUAGGGAACAUUCCUCCAGUGUACUUUUGCAAAGGACUAUCUCUGUCUUUAAUCUCCGCGCCGUUUCCUGCAGGUCUCCCGGGCCCAGCUUCCCUCUCAUUGUUCCUGGCGCUUUUGGAAAUGACCUCAGGCGGUUUGCAGUGACUGGCGACCCACGGUCAGAAUGACUAACCCAGUCUGUCUCCAUCCCUUGGACAUGUCCCAUUGACUAAAUAAAUGACAGGCACUGACAUGUGAAUAGAAACAAAAACAGCCUGACAAGUGAAAUCUUAACUCUUUGGAGCAAAGAAACGUCUGGACGUGUGUUCUGCCUGCGGAGGGGAAUUGCGGCAGACAGUCCUGUCGAUGGUGAAAAUACAGCGAGCCUGCCCGAGCUGCUCAGGACGCAUGCAGAUUGGGCAGACAAACACCUCUAAUAUUAUUUUUAAUUGUUUAAAAUUGUUUUCUGAAGCUUUUUAUCUCAGCACAUCUUUAAUUAAAAGUGCAGCUGGGUGUUUAUAUGACCAUUUGUGUGUCUGGGUUCGGUGCGAAUAAUUCCACUGAACAUUACAAGCAAGGGUUAAUGACGUGAGUACCUGUUGAAGGAUCUCAGCCCUAUAUUGUGUCUAUAUCAGCAGCUAUAUAACCUACCAUAGGUGAACCUAUAGGUACUUCCUCAUGUUCAUGGUCACACCCACUGCACAUAAACACCCGUCAGACAGGUGAUCCUAAAAUCAGCCUUAGGGGGCCUGUACAGGGAGAUAUAAGCUGUACUGGGGAUGUAUGUAUUUGUGCCUCUCCUAAAUGCUACUGGUGCUGCGUGCCAUCAGGUUUCAAGGACUGAAUUCCCCAUCCGGGCCCCCACUAACACUCUUUACCAAGCUCCCUCCAGCCCCCGGCCCGGGUAAGCCACACCAGAGUCUGAGAACAAGCCACGCCAUCCCAGCGUGAUAGAUUUUUUUAGGGCCCAGACUAGCUGCCUUUGAAAUCUAACAAUAGUUUUACCAAUAAGAAUAGAAUUAGUGUUAAUAAGCUACAUUUGUGGAUUUUUUUUGGUUGGAAAAGUAGGAAAGUAUUCUCUUUAAUAUAAUCAAAAUAUAUUUUAAAUGCUGUAAUUACAAUCAUUAAUAAUGCUGCUUAGCAGUUAUUAGCACUCGGUGCAUUGUUAGGAUGUCUGCAUUAGCUAAGGCUUAAUAAUGAGGUUCAUAUUAAUCCAGAAUAAGAAAAUAAUGAUAUGGGGAGUGGUUACAGUGCUGUGGUCUGAUGGCUUCUUGCUUUAAUGUAAGUAACAAAUAAUUCCCCCUGGCUCUCAGCAUUUGUGGAUAAGGCCAUAAAAAAGGAGGGAAAAAAAAAAAAAAGAAGGAAACCUCAACUAAUAAAAAUGCCACCCUUGCUUUACGACUCAGAGAGAAACGUUUGUUGUUUGACUAAAGACGAUAUUAAUAACUUGUGUUGGGAUAGCUGAUGUCAUUCUUUGGUCCCACGCAUUUCACGUUUGCAUUGAGAGUCCAGGGACCGUGGGCCGGCGUUUGGCAGUGUCCUAGUCUUCAGUGCACGGCACGAGCGAUCCAGUGGGUCAUCGUCACAACCACUGACGGGUGUCACGGUGAGGAGACGUGGGAGCAGCCCUCGGUUGGAGGUGGCGUCAGGAGAUGUUGGCAGGUCUUGCAGCUGAGACAGGAAAAUGAUGUUCUAACCUGGCUUUUGGGGUCAUUUUAAAUGCAACACUAUUUAUUGUCUUUCCUCCCACAUGAUUCUUGCUGAUAGCUUUUGAGGACCAGCUGCUGUCCCCUACCGCAGGGCUGGGUGGAGCUCAGUGAAGACAGGACCAGUCCCAUGAAAGGUGGGACAAGAAUUGCUGGGACUCGUUCUCUCAAAUGCCUCAGCCAAGCUCUUCUGCACUUGCUUGCACUCCUCCUUUCUCUCUCGUUGCUUUUUUGGUCUCAGUUCACCACCGUGCAUUAAACAUUAUUCACUCACUAGCUGAAUAAAAAGAGGCUGAAAGCUAAAA
This is an RNA transcript of Columba livia (rock pigeon), 13733 nucleotides long. It is a transcript of the gene named zwilch kinetochore protein, with no coding region annotated. The record is from RefSeq and is a predicted model, not a curated record. The transcript is spliced from 24 exons. Lineage: Eukaryota; Metazoa; Chordata; Aves; Columbiformes; Columbidae.